This 2663-nucleotide unclassified non-coding RNA is filed under the name Hevea brasiliensis (rubber tree). Lineage: Eukaryota; Viridiplantae; Streptophyta; Magnoliopsida; Malpighiales; Euphorbiaceae. The record is from RNAcentral.
AAAGCUCUGGUUUAAUCACAACUUUUCUGUUUAAUGCUACACCUAGAAAAAACGAAUUAAAAGAAAUAGAACUCCAUUUCAUUAAGUUGCAAUUCAAAGCAUGAAUUACACAAAACCCAUUAACUUUCCUACCAUAAUACUUAAAAUCCCAAAUUACAGAAACUAAUUACAACAAAAAGCUUUUAACCACCGAACCCGUAAAGAGUCCUGCCCUGCCUCUUCAACGCAUACACAACAUCCAUAGCAGUCACUGUCUUUCUUCUCGCGUGCUCAGUGUAGGUCACGGCAUCACGGAUCACAUUCUCCAAGAAAAUCUUCAAGACUCCUCGAGUUUCCUCGUAGAUCAACCCACUGAUCCUCUUGACUCCACCUCUGCGAGCCAGACGACGAAUCGCAGGCUUGGUGAUUCCCUGGAUGUUAUCCCGGAGAACUUUCCUGUGCCGCUUCGCUCCUCCCUUGCCCAGACCCUUGCCCCCCUUUCCGCGGCCUGACAUCUUCUAACAGAUCGAAAUUAGAGCUAUAGAGAAUAAGAGAGAUGAGUAUUGAUGUUGUUGUGUGUGAGAUUGGAGGUUUUGGAUAUUUAUAGAGAGAAGUCAGAAAUCGAUUGCCGAUGGGGAAUGGGUUGAUCCUAGAUAUUGUAUAAAGAGCGGCUUUGGAUCGUUGGAUUAUUUUAAAUGGACGGUUUAAGAUUGCAAACGUUGGUAUUAGGAGGAUCGAUGACGUGGAUAUUAUUAACCAAACAUGCCCUUCCUUCGGUACACGCGCUUGACGGUCUGCGUCGAUACUCCUGCUCAGUGCCAGGCGAUUAACAGUGGCAAUAACAUUUUGAAGACCUGUGAGUUGGUUGCUGUUAGGGCUCUUAAUCAGACCGCCUUCGAUCACGCCUGUUGAUAUAAUUGCUAUUGAUUUCUCAGAGAAGCUGCUGUUCAGGUUGAAGCUGCCAAUGGUUAAAGCUGCUAUGGAGCGUGGAGUUCACUUUGAAAUUACAUACUCUGAUCUUAUUCUGGAUGUUCAAGUUAGGAGGCAAAUGAUAUCAAAUGCCAAGUUACUGGUGGAUUGGACUCGAGGAAGGAAUCUCAUUUUCUCAAGUGCUGCUCCUUCUGUGAAUGAACUUAGAGGGCCAUAUGAUGCUGCAAAUUUAUCAUCUUUGCUUGGGCUCUCUAUUGAACGAGCUAAAGCAGCUAUUUCAAAGAACUGUAGGAAUCUUGUAGCUAAUGCUUUAAGGAAAAAACACUUUUACAAGGAGGCUAUUAGAGUUGAAUUGAUAUCAUCUGAUGAAAAAUCUGGCUCCAAGGAACCAUUGUCUACGGACUGGCUUAAAUGGGAUCCCAUCUCAAGUGGUGAAGGAGAUUUGCAACUAGAGGAUAUGGCAAAGUCUUUCUCUGCCACUAUUAGCGUUUCCAAUUCUGUUAAAGCCAUUGAUUUUGCUUCACUUAUUGGCAGCAUGCCACCUCAUAGUGAAAAGUUUUUGACUGCUAAGGCAGUUGAGCUACCAGUUGCAGCAACUGGAGUGUCUGAAAAUCUUCUUCCAGAAACAGAUUGGAAUUCGUUAUUCAAUUCUCCAUCAAAGAAUCAGACCUUUGAUCAUGGGAGUUCUCAAGAGCUAUGUUUUCCAAACAAUGCUGCAAAAAAUUCAACUAAUUUUGACGAAAUUGGAACUCCUACUAACGCCAUUGAGGAAGAGCCAAAAGAUUCGAAUGGCAAAGAUGCAUUACUUCCUUUGAUUGUAACUCAAAAGCCUGAUUUGCAAUCACAAAAACACAUCCCUAGUUGUGAAUUAAAUGCUAUGGAACUAAAUGAGGAUAUAAUGCAUCAGCUAUCUGCUGCAGAAGUUGAGUUGACGGAUUCUUGUGUUCCUGACAACAAAAGAAUAGAAACUUUAUCUGAGAAUGUUAAUUUUCUAGCUCCUCAGAUUAAAAAGUGUAUGAAUUCACAAGGUUCUGAUGCAUUUUUAGAUGCACAAAAUGUUGUGAUGGAUCCAGACAUGGCAGAGAUGGGUGUAAAAGAUCAGGAAGAUACACCUGUAAUUGAAAAUAUUUCUGGCAGAGAAUAUUGCAAGGAAUCAGAUGAUGAUACUAUUACACUUGGGGAUCAUGUUCGAUUUCCUUUAGUCUGUGGUGAUAUUAAAAUUAAAGAGGCCCCUUCAGUUGCAAAUCAGGAGAACCUAGAGGAGGUGGCGAUGGAAGAGCGAGAGGCUAUGGAGAUCCCAGAGGUGGCAACGGAAGAGCAAGAGGUUAUGGAGACCCUAGAGGAGGUGGCAAUGGAAGAGCAAGCACUUGGAGAUGUAGAUACUGAAAAUGUUCUUGGCCGGGACAAUGAUUUGAAAGCUAAAGAUACCUCUUCAGGUGCACAUUUUAUGCCCUUGGAGGAGGAGGCAAUGAAGGAACAAAAGCUUGAAGAAACUGAUGCUGAAAGUAAUCAUCCAAUGUUCUUCCCAUCUUCUUCAGGGAAAUCCAGGGCAAAGCAGAGGUUACUUCAACAGCCUCUUGUAUUUCCUUUGAAGCGAUUGUUGAAUCCUAUACCUUUCAAAAAGAAAUCUAAAAAAUUUAAACACAAGAUGAAUGUGUAACCAAGCGCUCUCUCCUCCCUCCAAAUAUUUACUCCUGUUCGGAAUCUAUAAUUUUUUAAGAAUUCAAUUCAAUUAAUUUUCUUUUGGUUAAAAA